Long non-coding RNA from Homo sapiens (human), 2393 nucleotides. Ensembl annotates it as long intergenic non-protein coding RNA 1036. The record is from Ensembl. Lineage: Eukaryota; Metazoa; Chordata; Mammalia; Primates; Hominidae.
GGUUCCUCCUCUUCCUGGGUGUAAACUGCGAUUCAAAAAGCCAGCCUGAAUUUUCAUGGCCAUGGGACAAAGAACCCCGUCUUUAGCUGAAUUAAGGAAAAGUUCUGCAACAUUUUUGACGUGCAACUUGGGGGCUCAAGCGGAGAAGCGGACGGAUCAGCAGCUCCCUGCCACUGUCCCCUCCCUGCCAGGGCUGGGACACAUGGCUCAAGGCGCUGCAGAAGGCUGGCUGGCGUUUUCUACCAUGUGCCCAUGGAAUCUCCUCCCACAGUCAGGGAGCCCAGCUCCAACCCACAGCAAUUACACUUCUCCCCCUGGUGAAGGAAACACUUGCAUAAGAAUAAGAGGUUCUUCCACAGGCAUUUUAAAACCUUUUUUCUUUCCUCUUCUCCACAAUAUCAGCAUUUAAGUUUAAGCAAGUUUUUUUAUUUCUAGAAGACAUUUUACUAGGCAAGGAAUGAUAAGAAUCCCUGUGUAUAUUCUCUAUUAAGCUUUAAUUGUGAAAAAGGAUUUGUAGGGCUAGUCUUGGGCUGUGGCCAAUCUGGUAUGCUUCCUGUGUCUGUAUGGUUUGUGCUGUAAGCCUCCAUCUUGUUUUACACAUCCUGGGGACAUGGCCCACAACUGCUUGACAGGACUUUGUUUAGCAGUCCUGCCUUAGGGGAUCAGCCCUCUCUGGCCAAUAUCUGCAUGUUUUCCUACUCCUGUCUCUUAAAGGGCCCCACCCAGCGACUGGAUUUUCUUCUGCCUCUCUGUGUGGGUACUGUGUGUGAUAUCUGUAAAAAGUGCGCUAAUUAAUUUGGCCUAAAGAAAGACAAGAACUUGGAUCAAAUUUUUUUUAAGGGAAGUUAAAAGCUGUGGUACCUUUCAGUUCACAUGACUUUAAUCUCUGAGAAAUAAAAACAGCCCUAAAGACUAUUGGUAAAAUGCAGGUGAGAUGCAAGGUUUUCUAAGUGUUUUGAGGUUAAAAACUGCUUUUUGGGUUUUGAGAACUAUUUGACUUGAAGGCUUCACAAUUGGUAAGGCCUGGGGACAUAUGGAAAUAACCACGCUCUUAAUUAUGCUGGGAGUCAAACCUUGGCUGCACCUAGCACACAAUUAAACAACUUACCAAGUUUUUACCUUAAAAGUUAAAAAUUGCUAGGAGUUACUAUUCCGAGAUGUAAUUGAGACUACAGGAAAUAGAUUUAUAUGCAAGAUGUGUAAGAACAGUAAAAUGUGGUGUUUUUUUGUAAAAUAUUAUAAGAAGGCAUGGAAAUGUAUACUUUUGCUUAGGGUUAAAGGAUUGUUUAAAUUAGGAAAAAGCUGAAGGUUCAAACAAGUGGUGGAGAAUUGUGGAAAUUAAUCUUGCAGAAGAGGUUCAACAUAUUAACUAAAUUCAAAAGGGUUAUAAGGUUAUAAAAGGUUUUUGCUUCUUUGAAAUUUCUGAGUCAUCCUUUUGGCAAAAUAAAUAACUUAAUGGCAAUUUGGAACUCUGUUUCAUAAUAUCAAGUGUUUUAAACCUCAAACAUGUUUGACAGCCUUCCCAAAAUCAAACUUUGGUUUCAAAACUGUCUUCCCUGGCACUUGGCUUUUGGAAUACUUCAGAGGGCCCCUGAAGUGUCCAGAAAAGAGAGGUAAACAGGGUUAUUUGACAUGUUUAGGUACAUGGAUUGCCAAAAUGAUGUUCAAUCUUCUUUAGGUUAUAUCUUGGUAAAUAAUGCUAAUAUAUGUUCCAAAAUUGUAUGGGACUUCUAAAAUUCUAAUGUCUAAGUAUUUGCUACCAAUCGUAAUUAAGGUUGUUAUGUUAAGUUAUUGUAAACCACGGAGACAACCAAACUUCUUUUUCCAUCGUGUUUCUAACUGUAAGUACCUUGGACAUUUUUCUAUUCACAGAAAAUUGUCUUGUUUUAAUCCUUUUCAAAAGAUGGUUUAUAAUAAGCUAUAUGACUUUAACAGGCACUCUCAAAUAUAGGCUUCUGGUAACUUUGGAGAUGGUAACAUUGGAAUAGAAGAAAAUGUACAGGACACAUAAAGAGCUGAAAUGCUCAAGAAUAUCAAGCAAAACAAGAGUUAACUAAAUGGACUGAACUCAGAAAGCUGAAGCAAACUUUUUGACUUUUGCUUGGAAUAUUGCUGAUACUUGUUUUGUUUUUCAGAGUCAAGGAAAUUAUUUUGAACUGUUUACAGGAACGAUAAACCAAAAGUGUUUUAUACAUUUUUGCUCUUUGAAUUACUUCAUUAUUAACUUAUCUGCAAAAUUCCCUGAGAAUAUUUUAACAUUAUAGAGAAGCACUGUAAAACCUUGAUAAAUUACCCUUAAAUAUUUACCUAAAUUAGAUAGGAGCAGAUAAGAAAUAUCUCUACCAUCAACUUUCAGAUAUAACCAAAUAAAUGAACAUAUUCAGAAGAAAAAA